Molecule: unclassified non-coding RNA, 329 nt
Filed under: soil metagenome
Description: partial contains 5.8S ribosomal RNA, internal transcribed spacer 2, and large subunit ribosomal RNA
Rfam family: 5.8S ribosomal RNA (bases 1-120)
Source: RNAcentral
GAUGAAGAACGUAGCGAAAUGCGAUAAGUAAUGUGAAUUGCAGAAUUCAGUGAAUCAUCGAAUCUUUGAACGCACAUUGCGCCCCUUGGUAUUCCGAGGGGCAUGCCUGUUCGAGCGUCAUUAUAACCCCUCAAGCUCAGCUUGGUGUUGGGGCCUGCUGCACUGGCAGCCCUUAAAAUCAGUGGCGGCGCCAUCUGGCUCUAAGCGUAGUAAUUCUUCUCGCUAUGGAGUCCUGGUGGAUGCUUGCCAUCAACCCCCAAUUUUUCUAUGGUUGACCUCGGAUCAGGUGGGGAUACCCGCUGAACUUAAGCAUAUCAAUAAGCGGAGGA